UUAAGUAAUCGAAAUGAUCGCCCUCCGUAGCUUUAUGCGAAGGAUGGGAGGAAAGUCCGAGCACCAGUGAGCAGCUUAGUCGCCGCAAGGCGACCGACCGUGAGGUUCGGGAAUAGUGCAACAGAAAAUAAACAGCUGACGCUCUCCAUUGAGCAAGCAAUGUUGAAAUCGUGAGGUAAGAGCUCACGCGCUGUCAUUACGAGAUGACUUUGUGUAAACCCUAAGCGGUGCAAGUCAGGUGGGUUCGACCAUCAUCAAAGGAUCUGCUCGAUCCGAUGACCACGAAUCCUGACGCAUAGAUAGAUGAUCAUUUAAACAAAACUCGGCUUAUCGAUUAGUUAAGACA
RNAcentral lists this RNase P RNA (346 nucleotides) under Candidatus Berkelbacteria bacterium RIFCSPHIGHO2_12_FULL_36_9. RNAcentral's name for it is "RNase P RNA component class A". It matches the Rfam family "Bacterial RNase P class A". Rfam says of the family: Ribonuclease P (RNase P) is a ubiquitous endoribonuclease, found in archaea, bacteria and eukarya as well as chloroplasts and mitochondria. Its best characterised activity is the generation of mature 5'-ends of tRNAs by cleaving the 5'-leader elements of precursor-tRNAs. Cellular RNase Ps are ribonucleoproteins. Lineage: Bacteria; Candidatus Berkelbacteria. The record is from RNAcentral.